GCCAACGUAGCUCAGCGGUAGAGCAGCGGUUUCGUAAACCGCAGGUCGUGAGUUCGAAUCUCACCGUUGGCUCCA
RNAcentral lists this transfer RNA (75 nucleotides) under Chloroflexota bacterium. RNAcentral's name for it is "Chloroflexi bacterium tRNA-Thr". It matches the Rfam family "tRNA". From Rfam's summary of the family: Transfer RNA (tRNA) molecules are approximately 80 nucleotides in length. Their secondary structure includes four short double-helical elements and three loops (D, anti-codon, and T loops). Lineage: Bacteria; Bacillati; Chloroflexota. The record is from RNAcentral.